GGAUUGUUUCGGUUUUUAUUUCCGAAGAUUCUUUCCGCCGUCCGUUCCCGUGGCGAAUCUGCGGCCGGCGGCCGUGCGGGAGGGGAGGCGGGGCCUCGCUCUGCGCAGGCGUAGCGGCGGCGCCGCCUCUCGCGGUGUCCGGGCCGCGCUCCGGCCCCGCUUCGCUUUCACCGGAACCCGAGGCCGCCGCCGCUCCCCUUUCCCGGCAAUUUUGGGGAUGCUGAGGCGCCGGGUGACGUUCGAGGAGCCCCCGGGGGAGGGGGAGGGGCCGGAGGAGCCGCCCCGGAAACGGCGGGUGAGGGGGAGGGGCGGGGGCGGGGCCUGGGAGGGGCGGGGUCAUUGAAAGGUCACUGUGGGGUCACGGGGGUGAAUUUUGGGGUGAGUUUGGGGAAUUUUGGGUCAGGCCGUGGCCAUGGAGGGCCUGGAACGUCUCACAGCCAUUUUGGGGUGAAUUUGGGCGAUUUUGGGUCCAGGCUGUGGCCGUGGGGGGUCCCGGGAGCCGCUUCCCGGCCCAGCCGUCCCUGGACAGCGACGAGGAGGAGGAGGAGGAGGAGGAAGAGCAGAGGGAGGAGGGGCCGCCCGUGGAGGGGCAGGAGCCGGGCCCCGCGCCGGGGGUGGGGGAGGGGCCGGUGCCCCUCACCCCCUUCAACCUGGAGGAGGAGUUGGGGGA
Molecule: long non-coding RNA, 670 nt
Filed under: Serinus canaria (Common canary)
Lineage: Eukaryota; Metazoa; Chordata; Aves; Passeriformes; Fringillidae
Description: lncRNA (ENSSCAG00000000528.1)
Source: RNAcentral